AUGCUGGAGGGCAAGGCGGUGGUGGAGGACACGGACAUGCCGGCGCGGAUGCAGGCGGCGGCGACGUCGGCCGCCUCCCGCGCGCUCGACCUCUUCGACGUCGACGACUGCCGCGCCAUCGCCGGCCACAUCAAGACGGAGUUCGACCGGCGGUACGGCAUGGGGUGGCAGUGCGUGGUGGGCGCCAGCUUCGGGUGCUUCUUCACCCACUCCAGCGGCACCUUCAUCUACUUCUCCCUCGAGCGCCUCACCUUCCUCCUCUUCAAGGCCGCCGCCGUCACCGCUGCGACCUCCUGUGCUUCGUCGGGGAUAUCUUAA
Molecule: ribosomal RNA, 318 nt
Filed under: Triticum aestivum (bread wheat)
Lineage: Eukaryota; Viridiplantae; Streptophyta; Magnoliopsida; Poales; Poaceae
Description: partial small subunit ribosomal RNA
Source: RNAcentral